RNAcentral lists this ribosomal RNA (493 nucleotides) under uncultured bacterium. RNAcentral describes it as "partial 16S ribosomal RNA". It matches the Rfam family "Bacterial small subunit ribosomal RNA", at positions 30 to 523 of the family's 1533-position model. The record is from RNAcentral.
AUUGAACGCUGGCGGCAUGCUUUACACAUGCAAGUCGAACGGUAACAGGUUAAGCUGACGAGUGGCGAACGGGUGAGUAAUGCAUCGGAACGUGCCCGGUCGUGGGGGAUAACGCAGCGAAAGCUGCGCUAAUACCGCAUACGAUCUGAGGAUGAAAGCGGGGGACCGUAAGGCCUCGCGCGAUCGGAGCGGCCGAUGUCAGAUUAGGUAGUUGGUGGGGUAAAGGCUCACCAAGCCGACGAUCUGUAGCUGGUCUGAGAGGACGACCAGCCACACUGGGACUGAGACACGGCCCAGACUCCUACGGGAGGCAGCAGUGGGGAAUUUUGGACAAUGGGCGCAAGCCUGAUCCAGCAAUGCCGCGUGCAGGAAGAAGGCCUUCGGGUUGUAAACUGCUUUUGUACGGAACGAAAAGGCUCUCUCUAAUACAGGGAGCUCAUGACGGUACCGUAAGAAUAAGCACCGGCUAACUACGUGCCAGCCGCCGCGGUAA